Molecule: non-coding RNA, 92 nt
Organism: Capsicum annuum
Lineage: Eukaryota; Viridiplantae; Streptophyta; Magnoliopsida; Solanales; Solanaceae
Source: Rfam
GAAUGGGAAUGAUGAUCAAAGGAAUUAUACAGUUAUCCCUGUCUGAUUUACUUCAUCUGCUGAUACUUUUUCCUUUCUUAUCUGACUCAUCC